Molecule: ribosomal RNA, 777 nt
Filed under: Triticum aestivum (bread wheat)
Lineage: Eukaryota; Viridiplantae; Streptophyta; Magnoliopsida; Poales; Poaceae
Description: partial small subunit ribosomal RNA
Source: RNAcentral
AUGAUGAGGCCACAGUUGCCCAGGUUCUACUACAAGAAGAGGUCUGCAGUCCACAACAGAACUGGCAAGGAUGAUAGCAGCCCCAAGAUCCAACCGCCCAGCUCGCCCGUGAGCAGACAGAGCCUGUCAACCUCUGCCAUCCCCACCUAUCAUGCUGGAGUUCCUAGGUCGAAGAAAUUCGAAGAAGCUCGAAGCCCCUGUCAGCGACUUGCUUUAUAUGUUAUUGAACUUGUAAUGCAUAAUUUUCUUGGAAUUUUGAUCGAUGGAAGAUCCUACGCUCUGCAGCUGAUCCAUCAGCAGCUGAUCCAUCAGCUUGGUCUGCAGCAGAUAAAAACCAAGCCUGGGGAAGGAAGGCCGGUAGGAGGAAGGCUGGUGGUUUGUGGUGACAUGCUUUUCAUGCUCAGUUCAAACAAGCUCCACCGCCUCAACAUGGGAACUGAGCCCGCGACUUGGAUGGCCGUGGAGAAGCUGGACAAUUGGGCACUCUUUAAGGGUCCAGGAGCAAAAAGCAGGCCGCAUUCUUGCAUGAGCUUGGAACUAUGGGGAGGGAGGAGCAGCAUCGUGCACUCUGCUCGUCCAUCUCGACCUUGGGCUCUCUAUGGGUUGUGUGGCAUGCUGGAUCCCAACUUAGGAAGCACACUAGCGAAAGCGUCAAUUUGCCGUUCUGGUUGUACCCAAGCAUGUUCUACUCGGAUGCCCAACGAUGAUGCAUGCUUGCCAGCCAACAAAAUGCAGCUUGCCGCAGCACCAGCUUUGGGGGGAAGCAGAGUGUCGUGA